RNAcentral lists this ribosomal RNA (484 nucleotides) under uncultured bacterium. RNAcentral's name for it is "partial 16S ribosomal RNA". It matches the Rfam family "Bacterial small subunit ribosomal RNA", at positions 30 to 507 of the family's 1533-position model. The record is from RNAcentral.
AUUGAACGCUGGCGGCAGGCCUAACACAUGCAAGUCGAGCGGAUGAAGGGAGCUUGCUCCUGGAUUCAGCGGCGGACGGGUGAGUAAUGCCUAGGAAUCUGCCUGGUAGUGGGGGAUAACGUCCGGAAACGGGCGCUAAUACCGCAUACGUCCUGCGGGAGAAAGUGGGGGAUCUUCGGACCUCACGCUAUCAGAUGAGCCUAGGUCGGAUUAGCUAGUUGGUGGGGUAAAGGCCUACCAAGGCGACGAUCCGUAACUGGUCUGAGAGGAUGAUCAGUCACACUGGAACUGAGACACGGUCCCGACUCCUAAGGGAGGCAGCAGUGGGGAAUAUUGGACAAUGGGCGAAAGCCUGAUCCAGCCAUGCCGCGUGUGUGAAGAAGGUCUUCGGAUUGUAAAGCACUUUAAGUUGGGAGGAAGGGCAGUAAGUUAAUACCUUGCUGUUUUGACGUUACCAACAGAAUAAGCACCGGCUAACUUCGUG